CUUCACCAAUCUUUUCCAUUUCAUUUCUCGAUUCAUCCCCAACACUCACACACACAGUGUGUGUGACAAAUUACCCAAUUCACAAUUCAAAACCCUAGGUUUCAUCCCCAAAUCAUGUGGAGAAGAGUUUCUACGCAUCUCCGACCUCUCGCCGUCUCUCGAUCCGCGCAGCGGCCUAAUCGCUCCAUCGCUCCUGGCGUUUCCUCCUCUACGCCGUCGUUUCGCCCCGCCGCUUCUCUUUUCUCUCGCUCUUUCACCGCUCCCGCAGGUAAUCUCUCUACAUCUGCUCGUCUCUGUGCAUCUGUUUAUGUAUGUGUGUGUAUAUGACUUUUUAUGUUUAGGAGGCGGUGUUUUGAGCAAGAGAGUUGAAGAUGUAAUGCCGAUUGCUACUGGUCAUGAACGUGAGGAGCUUGAAGCUCAGCUUCAAGUCAGUAAUUUCGCUCGUUUUUCUUUACAAUUCUGUUAUUAUUUACUCGGCCAUUUUGGAAAUUGUAAGCAAAUCUUUUAUCUUUUUUGCGGUUAGGGACGGGAUAUUCUCGAUAUUAACUAUCAUGAAGGUCCUUUUGGCACAAAGGUUAGUGUUUCUGAUUUUCUUGUCUAUAACUUACGAGUAAUAAUUAUUGAUUACUGUACUUGGUUUUUAUUAUAUCAGAGAUAUCGUGUUGUUUUGUUUAGCUCAGGGUAAAUUGUUAUCUGUUGUUAGGUAUCUUGUUUGUGUUUUAAAUUGCUAAGGUGCUCCUAAAAGUUUUAAUAUUUUUGUAUCAAAGUGCUGAUAUGUACGAAAAGUUACUGCUUGCACUAGAUGUAUGGGUAUGUAUGAUUAGACUUUCAUGAUAAUGUAUGUGAGAAAACACAGACUUAGCUGAUGAAAUGAGAUAUACCUGUAUAUGGUGAGUUAGUUAUGUGUAUAGCGGAACACUUAUAUGAACUUGUGAGAUUUGCUUGCUUACAGUUUUGUGUAGUUUUAGGAGUGUGGUCACUAAGCACCUUGUUUAUAGGUUUAUCAUGUCGUAGCAACUUUUCCGGCAUGCUUAUCUCGAUGAGAAGAAUGCCUGCUAGUAGAGGUUUACAAGAAUCGUAAAAGUGUAACUGACUGCUUGUGUGUGUGUGUGUGGGUGGGUGGGACUAAUGUUGUUGGGUAAGAAGGCGGCCCACCUAAAACCAUUUCUGUUGUGACCUAUACUUGUUAAUUCCGACUUAUUUCCAGCCACUGACUUCAGCUGACAUAGUUGUCUUCUCUAUUAUUUUAUACGUGGAAGUAAACGAUCCAUCACCGUUCUAUAUGUUCAGUGAGUGGUAGGGGUGGAAAUAAAUGACCGGUGCGAGUACUUAUGUUUUCAUAUGUAUAUUCUGUAGAUGGACACGUGAUUGUGUGUAUUAAGUAAUGCCGCUCAGACUCUACUCGUGAACAAAAUUAUGUGAAUGUGUAUAUAUAGUUAUUAUGGACAAUUGUUAACAAAUUUCAUUCCUUCCUCCAUUCCAUUCCUUAGAUUAUGUGCUAGAGAUCAUACCUUCAAUUUGAGAUGGAAUGCUCCAUUCUCUCCUACCCCCAAUUUCUUCUCAAAUCUCAUCAUAGCAAUUUUGCCUCACUUACAUUUAUUCCAAAACUUCCCUCCUAUCUCUAUUAGUUCCAAAUAAUUUUACUCAUUCCAUUCUAUUCCAUUCACCGCAACCAAACACAACAUUAUACUUCAAUUGAGGGAGUAGUUGUCAUGGUUAUAUACUUAUACUUCAAUUUUAAGUUUUAAUUACCCAAGUACUCCCUAGCUGGUUUCUGCAUUUAGAUUUCCAUGCUUGAAGAAUGUUGGUUGUUAAAAAGCCUGCAAGGACGUGAAAAUGAGAUUCUGACAGGAUACAUGGUAUAAUUACAUAAAUUUAUACUCAAAAAAAUUAAUAUUACCAGCAUAUUAGUUUGACUAUUAUUAAAUUACCAAAAAUAAAAAAUAAAAAAUUCGGAGCUACACUAUUUCAUUAUUUUGCAAUAAUAUAAUAAAAUUUUAAUAUAUUUAAAAAAAUGAAGCAAGCGACAAAAAGGCAGAAUAUAAACGGUAAGCCAAACCAACCUUCACCAAUCUUUUCCAUUUCAUUUCUCGAUUCAUCCCCAACACUCACACACACAGUGUGUGUGACAAAUUACCCAAUUCACAAUUCAAAACCCUAGGUUUCAUCCCCAAAUCAUGUGGAGAAGAGUUUCUACGCAUCUCCGACCUCUCGCCGUCUCUCGAUCCGCGCAGCGGCCUAAUCGCUCCAUCGCUCCUGGCGUUUCCUCCUCUACGCCGUCGUUUCGCCCCGCCGCUUCUCUUUUCUCUCGCUCUUUCACCGCUCCCGCAGG
This 2332-nucleotide long non-coding RNA is filed under the name Daucus carota (carrot). RNAcentral describes it as "long non-coding RNA (DCAR_LNC005184)". The record is from RNAcentral. Lineage: Eukaryota; Viridiplantae; Streptophyta; Magnoliopsida; Apiales; Apiaceae.